CCCUUAUUCCAGAAACGAUCUCUGGUCGGGAACGGAUUCGAACGGACGGAACGAUGAUUCGAUAUCAUUCGCAGGUACAUCUUUGGCGUAUAGUAUUAUAU
Long non-coding RNA from Apis florea (little honeybee), 101 nucleotides. The record is from RefSeq and is a predicted model, not a curated record. Lineage: Eukaryota; Metazoa; Arthropoda; Insecta; Hymenoptera; Apidae.